This 251-nucleotide ribosomal RNA is filed under the name uncultured prokaryote. RNAcentral describes it as "partial 16S rRNA". It matches the Rfam family "Bacterial small subunit ribosomal RNA", at positions 525 to 778 of the family's 1533-position model. The record is from RNAcentral.
ACGGAGGGUGCAAGCGUUAUUCGGAAUUACUGGGCGUAAAGCGCGUGUAGGCGGCCCUGCAAGUCUGAUGUGAAAGCCCCGGGCUUAACCCGGGAAGUGCAUUGGAAACUGCAGGUCUUGAGUACUGGAGAGGAUGGGGGAAUUCCCGGUGGAGCAGUGUUGUUGGUGUAGAGCGGGAGGAAUAGGAGUAGCAGAGGGGCCAAUCUUGACGGAAACUCCCGCUAGGCUGUCAAAUUGUAAGCAAGGUGGAG